RNAcentral lists this transfer RNA (103 nucleotides) under Microsporum audouinii. RNAcentral's name for it is "tRNA-Arg". It matches the Rfam family "tRNA". Rfam says of the family: Transfer RNA (tRNA) molecules are approximately 80 nucleotides in length. RNAcentral also lists the same sequence under 3 other names. The record is from RNAcentral. Lineage: Eukaryota; Fungi; Ascomycota; Eurotiomycetes; Onygenales; Arthrodermataceae.
GCCCUCGUGGCGUAAUGGUUAACGUUUCAGACUUCUAAGCCACGUGAUCCUAGAUUACGUUCUCUGAUAUCUGACUAUCCCGGUUCGAGUCCGGGCGGGGGUG